RNAcentral lists this ribosomal RNA (497 nucleotides) under uncultured bacterium. RNAcentral describes it as "partial 16S ribosomal RNA". It matches the Rfam family "Bacterial small subunit ribosomal RNA", at positions 28 to 507 of the family's 1533-position model. The record is from RNAcentral.
GAUGAACGCUGGCGGCGUGCCUAAUACAUGCAAGUCGAGCGAACAGAUAAGGAGCUUGCUCCUUUGACGUUAGCGGCGGACGGGUGAGUAACACGUGGGUAACCUAUCUAUAAGACUGGAAUAACUCCGGGAAACCGGGGCUAAUGCCGGAUAACAUGUUGAACCGCAUGGUUCUACAGUGAAAGACGGCUUUGCUGUCACUUAUAGAUGGACCCGCGCCGUAUUAGCUAGUUGGUGAGGUAACGGCUCACCAAGGCAACGAUACGUAGCCGACCUGAGAGGGUGAUCGGCCACACUGGAACUGAGACACGGUCCAGACUCCUACGGGAGGCAGCAGUAGGGAAUCUUCCGCAAUGGGCGAAAGCCUGACGGAGCAACGCCGCGUGAGUGAUGAAGGUCUUCGGAUCGUAAAACUCUGUUAUUAGGGAAGAACAAAUGCGUAAGUAACUGUGCGCGUCUUGACGGUACCUAAUCAGAAAGCCACGGCUAACUACGUG